CAAAGGACUGAAGGCGAGGCAGCUCCAUACCACAUUGCAAUUACACAGUGAAGACCUUUGAAAAUGAAGGCAGCUGAGGCUGACCAUGUCCCUAUGCUGCCUUUAGAAGGGCAGUUCUUGGUGGGUAAUAUCUG
This is a small nucleolar RNA of Suncus etruscus (white-toothed pygmy shrew), 134 nucleotides long. RefSeq annotates it as small nucleolar RNA SNORA47. The transcript has a single exon. NCBI's taxonomy places the organism in Eukaryota, Metazoa, Chordata, Mammalia, Eulipotyphla, Soricidae. The record is from RefSeq and is a predicted model, not a curated record.